This 402-nucleotide unclassified non-coding RNA is filed under the name soil metagenome. Its description in RNAcentral is "partial contains 5.8S ribosomal RNA, internal transcribed spacer 2, and large subunit ribosomal RNA". The stretch from base 2 to 123 matches the Rfam family "5.8S ribosomal RNA", at positions 35 to 154 of the family's 154-position model. The record is from RNAcentral.
AGAUGAAGAACGCAGCGAAAUGCGAUACUUGGUGUGAAUUGCAGAAUCCCGUGAAUCAUCGAGUCUUUGAACGCAAGUUGCGCCCGAAGCCUUUUGGCCGAGGGCACGUCUGCCUGGGUGUCACGCAACGUCGCCGCCGGCACAUCCUUCCCUUAGGGGAUCGUGAUGUAGCUGGGGGCGGAUUUUGGCCUCCCGUGCGCCUCAGCGCGCGCGGUUGGCCUAAAUUUCAGCUCACGGCGAGGAUCGCCACGACAAGCGGUGGUUUUUUUGAACUAAGGACCUCGGGUGUUGUCGUGCGGCCUCGCGGAGAGAAGGAACCCCGUGCGCUUGCGCACUCUCUUAACGAGACCCCAGGUCAGUCGGGAACACCCGCUGAAUUUAAGCAUAUCAAUAAGCGGAGGA